UGCCGGGUCGUCUAACGGUAGGACAAUGGACUCUGGAUCCGUUAAUCUUGGUUCGAAUCCAAGCCCGGCAG
RNAcentral lists this transfer RNA (71 nucleotides) under Candidatus Aerophobota bacterium. RNAcentral's name for it is "Candidatus Aerophobetes bacterium tRNA-Gln". It matches the Rfam family "tRNA". Rfam says of the family: Transfer RNA (tRNA) molecules are approximately 80 nucleotides in length. Their secondary structure includes four short double-helical elements and three loops (D, anti-codon, and T loops). Lineage: Bacteria; Candidatus Aerophobota. RNAcentral also lists the same sequence under 1 other name. The record is from RNAcentral.